UGCCCGAUGGUGUAAAGGCAGCACAGGGGUCUUUGGAACCUCUAGUCCAGGUUCGAAUCCUGGUCGGGCAA
RNAcentral lists this transfer RNA (71 nucleotides) under Gemmatimonadota bacterium. RNAcentral describes it as "Gemmatimonadetes bacterium (soil metagenome) tRNA-Gln". It matches the Rfam family "tRNA". From Rfam's summary of the family: Transfer RNA (tRNA) molecules are approximately 80 nucleotides in length. RNAcentral also lists the same sequence under 1 other name. The record is from RNAcentral. Lineage: Bacteria; Pseudomonadati; Gemmatimonadota.